Small nucleolar RNA from Alexandromys fortis (reed vole), 103 nucleotides. RefSeq annotates it as small nucleolar RNA U13. The record is from RefSeq and is a predicted model, not a curated record. NCBI's taxonomy places the organism in Eukaryota, Metazoa, Chordata, Mammalia, Rodentia, Cricetidae. The transcript has a single exon.
AUCUUUUUUGAUUCAUAAGCAUGAUGAUUAAGUAUCCACAUUAUUAUGUGACAUGCACCUCCCUCAAAACUGUUAUGAAGUCGGAUACAUCACUCGUCUGACA